Molecule: ribosomal RNA, 1469 nt
Filed under: Lactococcus lactis
Lineage: Bacteria; Bacillati; Bacillota; Bacilli; Lactobacillales; Streptococcaceae
Description: bacterial SSU rRNA
Rfam family: Bacterial small subunit ribosomal RNA
Source: RNAcentral
GACGAACGCUGGCGGCGUGCCUAAUACAUGCAAGUUGAGCGCUGAAGGUUGGUACUUGUACCAACUGGAUGAGCAGCGAACGGGUGAGUAACGCGUGGGGAAUCUGCCUUUGAGCGGGGGACAACAUUUGGAAACGAAUGCUAAUACCGCAUAAAAACUUUAAACACAAGUUUUAAGUUUGAAAGAUGCAAUUGCAUCACUCAAAGAUGAUCCCGCGUUGUAUUAGCUAGUUGGUGAGGUAAAGGCUCACCAAGGCGAUGAUACAUAGCCGACCUGAGAGGGUGAUCGGCCACAUUGGGACUGAGACACGGCCCAAACUCCUACGGGAGGCAGCAGUAGGGAAUCUUCGGCAAUGGACGAAAGUCUGACCGAGCAACGCCGCGUGAGUGAAGAAGGUUUUCGGAUCGUAAAACUCUGUUGGUAGAGAAGAACGUUGGUGAGAGUGGAAAGCUCAUCAAGUGACGGUAACUACCCAGAAAGGGACGGCUAACUACGUGCCAGCAGCCGCGGUAAUACGUAGGUCCCGAGCGUUGUCCGGAUUUAUUGGGCGUAAAGCGAGCGCAGGUGGUUUAUUAAGUCUGGUGUAAAAGGCAGUGGCUCAACCAUUGUAUGCAUUGGAAACUGGUAGACUUGAGUGCAGGAGAGGAGAGUGGAAUUCCAUGUGUAGCGGUGAAAUGCGUAGAUAUAUGGAGGAACACCGGUGGCGAAAGCGGCUCUCUGGCCUGUAACUGACACUGAGGCUCGAAAGCGUGGGGAGCAAACAGGAUUAGAUACCCUGGUAGUCCACGCCGUAAACGAUGAGUGCUAGAUGUAGGGAGCUAUAAGUUCUCUGUAUCGCAGCUAACGCAAUAAGCACUCCGCCUGGGGAGUACGACCGCAAGGUUGAAACUCAAAGGAAUUGACGGGGGCCCGCACAAGCGGUGGAGCAUGUGGUUUAAUUCGAGGCAACGCGAAGAACCUUACCAGGUCUUGACAUACUCGUGCUAUUCCUAGAGAUAGGAAGUUCCUUCGGGACACGGGAUACAGGUGGUGCAUGGUUGUCGUCAGCUCGUGUCGUGAGAUGUUGGGUUAAGUCCCGCAACGAGCGCAACCCCUAUUGUUAGUUGCCAUCAUUAAGUUGGGCACUCUAACGAGACUGCCGGUGAUAAACCGGAGGAAGGUGGGGAUGACGUCAAAUCAUCAUGCCCCUUAUGACCUGGGCUACACACGUGCUACAAUGGAUGGUACAACGAGUCGCGAGACAGUGAUGUUUAGCUAAUCUCUUAAAACCAUUCUCAGUUCGGAUUGUAGGCUGCAACUCGCCUACAUGAAGUCGGAAUCGCUAGUAAUCGCGGAUCAGCACGCCGCGGUGAAUACGUUCCCGGGCCUUGUACACACCGCCCGUCACACCACGGGAGUUGGGAGUACCCGAAGUAGGUUGCCUAACCGCAAGGAGGGCGCUUCCUAAGGUAAGACCGAUGACUGGGGUG